UUAACUUAUGCAACUGAAUUAAUUAAAAAGAAGAAAAAUUAAUUAACAAAAAACAAAAGGAGCAGUCAUCUUCUUCCCCAUCCCUGCAUCUAUUAUUCCACCAUUUUCAUCAUCUUUCUUACACACAUGCGCACACCCCAACCCCUCCACCUCUCUCUUUCUCUCACCCUCUGCCAUUCUUCUUCUUAUUUCCCCUUUUUAUGUUAAUUUACGUCUCAAAUAUCUCGAUGAAGCUCAAUUUAUUACAUGAAAAAUAUGAAUUGAUUUUUUUUGGGAAAAAGUUUUUUUUUUUUUUUUAACUCUAAUAAAUAGUUACUAAUGGAGAGAAGAUGAAGGCAAUGAGUAAAAGAUAUUCAUGCUAUCGAAAUGAAAGAGAAUGAGUAUUUAGCUUGAGUGGAUAGCAAUGGUGUAUUUUGUACUGCCGACGCCAACGAAAGAGAAGAAAGAGGUAGAGCGAUGGUUUGCUGGCGUCGCCGGUGCCGACACCGACUCCGGUGGAAGGGGAAACCAGAAUUGGGUCUAUCGAAGAAGAAGAAGGGAAAGGGAAGGGGGGGGGCUGUUAAUUAAAAAAACUUUUUAAUUAUUUAAAAUACUUUUUGGAUUAUUUAAAUAGAGCUUUUAAAAAAAAUUGAAUACAAUACCACGUGUCAUCAUUUUAUUGGUAAAUCGAUUUUGUAUUCACGUUUGAGAUGCAUGCAUUUUUAUUUUUCAACUGUUUGUCAGUUUAUGUCAAAUAGGUAAAAAUUUCUUAAGGUUGGAGUGUUC
RNAcentral lists this long non-coding RNA (765 nucleotides) under Solanum tuberosum (potato). RNAcentral's name for it is "long non-coding RNA (STUB_LNC009113)". The record is from RNAcentral. Lineage: Eukaryota; Viridiplantae; Streptophyta; Magnoliopsida; Solanales; Solanaceae.